UACGUAGGGGGCAAGCGUUGUCCGGAUUUAUUGGGCGUAAAGAGCGUGUAGGCGGUUCGGUAGGUCCGUUGUGAAAACUCGAGGCUCAACCUCGAGACGCCGAUGGAAACCCCCGAACUAGAGUCCGGAAGAGGAGAGUGGAAUUCCUGGUGUAGCGGUGAAAUGCGCAGAUAUCAGGAGGAACACCGGUGGCGAAGGCGGUUCUCUGGGCCUUACCUGACGCUGAGGAGCGAAAGCGUGGGGAGCAAACAGG
Molecule: ribosomal RNA, 253 nt
Filed under: uncultured bacterium
Lineage: Bacteria
Description: partial 16S ribosomal RNA
Rfam family: Bacterial small subunit ribosomal RNA
Source: RNAcentral